Molecule: long non-coding RNA, 2842 nt
Organism: Brienomyrus brachyistius
Lineage: Eukaryota; Metazoa; Chordata; Actinopteri; Osteoglossiformes; Mormyridae
Exons: 2
Source: RefSeq, a predicted model, not a curated record
UCGAUUAUGGCAUACCAGACGAUGUUAGAUUAUACAGCAAUAUAUAUAUAUAUAUUCCCACACAAAAAUACAUUUUCAGACUAUAAUUUAAGUGACAUAUAUAAUUUCUAUAAUCACAUCAAUACCCCAAUGUAUCAACUUACUAAGUUACUGCGAUGCAUUAAAAAAAAAACUUGCACAUAUUUGGCAUAAAAAUCAAUAUCAUCGACCUUUCAUUUAGAAGUAGCGUAAGCUUUAAGAUAUAGAAUGUAUCAUGCUGUAUGAGCAACAUAUCUAGCUACAAGCAACACAUAUAUGUGUAUAUAGGCAUACAAUUUCAAAAAUAAGCAUGACAUCAUGUCAUUCUAUGACAUUGAACCAUGCCGAACAACUAUGGAAAACAAGUAGGGGUAUUGCGCUGAAGUGAUAUACAGGGGUGAAAAGGUGUGCUUUUCGGUUGCUGGAAGGGGGGAUCCGCAAUAGCGCAUAUAAAAUAAUUACAGCUCGAGUCUGACUAACACGGAAAACGUUGCGCCUUUGCCGCCACCAAGUGGACACUGGUUCUUAUUACCAAUUAAUAUAUCCCAAUGACAAAAAUUCUGAAGUAUUAUUAGCGGAGAUCUUAAAAAUGUGAUAUUUAAAACACGUUUAAUACGUCCGGACAUACCACACCGCAAUUUGUACAGUUUGAAUGGUCAAAAAUGCAAAUGAUAUUCAGGAUAUUGAAAGAACAAAUUUUAAAAAUGGUCUUAAAUGUUAUACUUAUGUGCGAGUCAUUGUAAAGAAACGAGAAAAACUUUUAUUGAAAACAUAUUAUGGAAUUGUUUUCAGAUUACGAAAUUUAUUGCCUUAAAACGAUUAUUUGUAUACCUGUCCACUGGAGUUUUCUCAAAGUCCUGCUCGGUUUUUGGUAGGCCCUCUUGCAUGCAGCCUCCUGGGCAUACUUUCAACAACGGUGUUGCAAAUGGCUCCGUCAAAGCUCUCCCAUGCGCGGUGGAGCAUGUCUAUCAAAUUUUGUUUGUUGUUGGGUGGGUCUGUUGGGUACUUCCUCGCCAUCUCAGCCCAGAGUUGCUCAAUAGGAUUGAGAUUUUGCACUAUGUGGGGGCCACUCAAGCACUUUCGCCGCCUUCUGGGAGAGAAAGGCUAUACCACAUGCUUUUCAGUGUGCUUGGGGUUGUUAUCUUGGCGACAUCCAAGCAGUUUGGCAGCAGAUGGGAUAAUCUGGGUGGACAGGAGCUCCUCAUACACCUCGGAAUUCAUGAUGCCAUCAGUAAAAUGCAAAUUGCUGACACCAGAGCUGCCAUGCAAUCCCAAACCAAUGCGCUCCCGCCACCAUGUUUGAUGGUUGGAUUUAGGCACUGGGCACAUACUCCUCCUUUGAGUUGCACCAUGCUCUCUGAUGACCAUCUGAUCCAAACAUGUUGAAUUUGGAGUCAUCAGACCAUACGAUCGAUUUCCAGAAGCUGAAUAAUGGUUUCACCGAUCUCGGAUUUCUGGAUGAUAUCGUGCACAGAAGUGUGCCUCGUGUCACGGGCUCUGGAAUUUCGAUCAGGAGGGCAGGGCAUGGUGAGGGCGGGAAUAAGGAGGCGGAUGAUCUGUUUGCAGCGCACAGGAUGAACGGCUCACAGAAACCGAAAACACGGGAAACAUCACGAAACAAUGGACCACGAGGGGUCAAAAAGCAAAUAGGGAAAAACAAAGACUAACUAUCAAGGGUCAGGGCAACGAGGAGCAGGCAGGCAGGCGAAGUACAAAUAACGCAACACAGGGUAACAGGGACUCUGAAUACAACUCAAAUACACCAUCUGAAAAGAACAUGAAAUAUAUUACUGACAUACAAUAUCAAAAAUGACAGGAGGAACAGAACAGGAACUUAAAUACAAAAAGCUAACAAAAGUAAUGCAGGACAAGUGAAAACAAUUAACAAGUGAAACUAAUAAAACUAAAAUCAUGAUACUCAAACUAGGAAAAAGAAUCUUACACUAGGGGAAUAACAGACAAGUAACACACAACCAUGGGCACAAAGUCAAAAACCAAAACGGGAUACAAAUCACAAAACACAGGAACUAGAAAACUGAUACAAAUGAAACUAGGGAGCAAAAUCAAAAGACAAAAACAAAGGAGGCAGGAUUCAAACACAGGACUGAGAGGAUUACAGGUAGCUGCAUACUCAGCUCAUUGAACUAUGCGGCUGUCUGGGGAGCAAGAGAAUCUUUAAAGACGGACAAUGGGUAGGACAGGAUGGCUAGUGACACCUGCUGGCCAAACAUGGAAAAGACAUGAAAGAAUCGGACAGAUGGGUGCAGACCCUGACAGCCUUAUAUCAAGUCCAGUGGCAAUUUUUUUUUUUUAACAGAAAGACCCUAGCUGACUGUGAAAUUUUAUGAUUCUUUCCCUCAAUGUAUUGGGUAUUUCAGCAGUUUUAACCAUGUUGGAAAACUCAACUAACCCUAUAAAUGCUCCUGUGGGGAAUGACCACCAAGACUUGUAGAAACUAAGGGCACUCAAUUAACUGCCUAUUUGGGACACCUGCUGUUAUGUGUUGUGUUAAAUGAUCUCUGUUAUGACUGGGAACUCCUCCCGUUGUCAUCUAUUCGCCCAACUCUGAAUGGCCAGGUAUGCAAAUGAUUAUUUGAAGGCAAUAAAUUACAUAAUUUGAAUACGAUUCCAGAAUGUGUUUUGCAUAAAAUUUUUUCCUUGUUUCUUUACAUAGCAAACACAUAAUUGUAACAUUUAGACAGUUUGCUCUUCAAUAUCCUGAAUUUCAUUUCCAUUUUUGAUUACACUGUACUUUGGCUACACUGUAUAUAUAAAUCAAUUUAUGAAAUAGUGAUAAUAAUAAAGCUACAGUCGAACAUUUGAA